CAGAAAACCCACACACCAGCCAGAGAUGAGGAAACACACACAGAGUAACACAGGAAAAAUAGGUCUUGGGAAGUGGAUCUCCCAGUUUUAGACAUCUGUCCCCGAGCAACCCUUUUUCUCAGAACCCUGCACUAAGGGCACUCUUCCUCUCCAACUCCACCGACGCUCAACCCACACUCAGCUUCUGGGCUUCAAAGAAACAUCCACACUUCACCCUUCCUUCCAACUAUCACCUGCUCUGCAUUCCAAUCCUGCGCCCCCAGCUGCUUUCCAAGGUCAUAGGUAAUUAUCUGAUUUUUUAAAAAUUUAAGUCUUACACAAGUAGAAAUGUAUAAUUGAGCUUUAAAAUUUCCUUUUCUUCUUGUCUUCCCUUUUCUUCUCUUUUUUGGUAAAUUAAUUGAUAAACUCUAUCAAGAGCCAGAAAUCUAGAUGAACAGAUAGGUGCAUAGAUGCUAUUGUGGAAUGAAUUAUGUUCUCCAAAAUUCAUAUGUGGAAGGCCUAGCCCUGGAUGUGAUAGUGUUUAUAGAUAGGACCUCAGUGAAGUACUAUAGUUUAGGUCUAAACUAUCCCCCCAAAGUCUCAUUAUUCCAAGGUAGGGCUUUUAAAAGAUGAGUGGAUUAUGACAUGCUAGGCUUAUUAGUUGACUGAUCUACUGAUAAGUUCAUAGCUGAACAGUCUGUCAGGAGGUGGGCCCUGGUUGGACGACACAGGUCACUGGGGUCAUGACUUGGAAGGGUGGAUUCUCCUCCCUAGUGCCUCCCUUCUCUCUGUUUCCUGGCUGCCCUUAGAUGAGCAGCUUUCCUCUGCCAGGCCCUUCCACCAUUGUUUCUGCCUUGGAGCCAGUAAACCAUGGACUGAACCCACUGAAGCUGGGAGCCAAAACUUCUCUUCCUUUGUGUUAUGAGCAACAGAUAUUUUGUCCUAGUGUCAAGAAGCUAAUAUGAGGUAAUUAAACUUAUAUAAGGUGUUAUGGCUUGUAUUUAAAUGUUCCCCCUCCAAAGCCUCAUCAGUCAUAAGUGGGGAUUUUCAGAGGUGGCUGGAUCUAGAGUAUAUGAGGCUGGGAUGAAGUGUGUGAUCCUGGGAUCAAGGGUGAUUACUAAAUUAGUCCACUGAUUGGUUUGGCAUAGUUCUUUGUGUGGAUAAUGGGAAGGCCCACUCUGGGUGUGAGUACUACCCACCCUAAGGGUGGGUAGCCUGGGUAGGAUAUAAGGGACAGAAAAAAAGCCUGCUGUCUUACUUGCUGCUUCUUAGCUACUUUGCUGACUUCUGCCUGCCAUGAACUGUUUCUCUUCUGCUAUGCCACCCUGUCUUGGAGCCACCCAAUUAUGAACUGAAACCUCUAUAAACUGUGAGCCAAAGAAACCUUUCCUCCUUUAACUUCGGGUGUUGGGUAUUUUGUUUCAGCAGGAGAAGGUCAUAAGGGUCUUUAAUCUGGACUGUAUCCUUAUAGCAAGAGGAAGAGACCUAGAACCCUCUUCCUGUGUGCACACAGAGAAGGCGCCACUGAGGCCACUGCAAGAAGGUGGAGUCUGUGAGCCAGAAGACAGCCCUUGCUGAAGCAGCACUGGGAGCCCCUUGCUCUUGGACUUCUGGUUGCAGAUCUGCAAGAAAGUGACCUUCUGUUGUCUAAGCUACCUGUGGCAUUUUACUACAGCUUUCC
This is a long non-coding RNA of Heterocephalus glaber (naked mole-rat), 1660 nucleotides long. NCBI's taxonomy places the organism in Eukaryota, Metazoa, Chordata, Mammalia, Rodentia, Bathyergidae. The record is from Ensembl.